RNAcentral lists this ribosomal RNA (253 nucleotides) under uncultured bacterium. RNAcentral describes it as "partial 16S ribosomal RNA". It matches the Rfam family "Bacterial small subunit ribosomal RNA", at positions 524 to 776 of the family's 1533-position model. The record is from RNAcentral.
UACGUAGGGCGCGAGCGUUGUCCGGAAUUAUUGGGCGUAAAGAGCUCGUAGGCGGCCGGUUGCGUCUGCUGUGAAAUCCCGGGGCUUAACCCCGGGCGUGCAGUGGAUACGGGCCGGCUGGAGGCAGGCAGGGGAGAAUGGAAUUCCCGGUGUAGCAGUGAAAUGCGCAGAUAUCGGGAGGAACACCGGUGGCGAAGGCGGUUCUCUGGGCCUGUACUGACGCUGAGGAGCGAAAGCGUGGGGAGCGAACAGG